GUUAGGAAUAUUGGACAAUGGGCGCAAGCCUGAUCCAGCCAUGCCGCGUGAGUGAUGAAGGCCUUCGGGUUGUAAAGCUCUUUAGUCCACGAAUAUAAUGACUGUAGUGGAAGAAUAAGCCCCGGCUAACUUCGUGCCAGCAGCCGCGGUAAUACGAAGGGGGCGAGCGUUAUUCGGAAUCACUGGGCGUAAAGCGUGCGUAGGCUGUUUUGUAAGUCAGAAGUGAAAGCCCAGGGCUUAACCCUGGAAUUGCUUUUGAAACUACAAGACUCGAAUUCGGGAGAGGAUAGCGGAAUUGUCAGUGUAGCAGUGAAAUGCGUAGAUAUUGACAGGAACACCAGUGGCGCAAGCGGCUAUCUGGACCGAUAUUGACGCUGAGGCACGAAGGCCAGGGGAGCGAACGGGAUUAGAAACCCGUGUAGUCC
This 425-nucleotide ribosomal RNA is filed under the name uncultured bacterium. RNAcentral describes it as "partial 16S ribosomal RNA". It matches the Rfam family "Bacterial small subunit ribosomal RNA", at positions 354 to 796 of the family's 1533-position model. The record is from RNAcentral.